Molecule: long non-coding RNA, 1948 nt
Filed under: Vulpes vulpes (red fox)
Lineage: Eukaryota; Metazoa; Chordata; Mammalia; Carnivora; Canidae
Description: lncRNA (ENSVVUG00000014480.1)
Source: RNAcentral
CAGGCAUUUUGUAGUGGUUGAUAUUAUACUCUUUAUGUGUAUAAAUAUCUCCUUAUAAUAAUAUUUGUGUACCCCUCUUUUUUUAGAAUGGGAACAUAAGGGAAGAAGUCCCUGCUACAGGAUAUCCUAAUCCUGACCUCAUCUCAGGCUGUAACAAAUCUUCACUGCAGUUAUUCUUCUGAAAUAAUUAUGGUCUUUAUUUAGAGACUGUUUGAAGUGUGAUUUUUACACAGUUGGUGUUAGAAAUGCUGGCCGCCUUGGUUUCCAGCGAUGUGGCCAUUUCAUCUGCCACAAAAUGAGAUUGUCUUACUUUUUAGGAAUACAAUACAGUUGUCUGAGAAGUUUUCAGACAUGGCAGACCUCUGAUGGAAUUGUGCCAGAUUAUAUGGAAGAGUCACAGUAUUGUCUGUCUUUGUGUACUGUUCAAGUAUCCACGUAAUUAAUGGUCGAAGGAGUUAGUAACACUCAUCAUGUCUUCAGCACUGGAAUAAGACUAGAGAGUGAGGUUCUGCAGACUGCAAUCCAGGUUCUCUGCACCUGAUGCUGUUUGAUCAUCAUCAUCAUCAUCACAAUCAUCAUCAUCUUUAUGAUUAAAAAGCAUUUGCUCAAUUUUUCUGGAAUGAAUGGCAGCAGCUCAAGAUCUCUCUUCAGAUUGAAGUAUGAAAAAAAUAAUAAGAAAAUAACACACUAGCCACUGCAGAAGAAAGUACAACAAAACAAGCCAUACAGCCACUGAUUGGUCCCUUCUACUAAAGUGGUAAUUCAAAAACCAAAAAACUUCAGGAGGACAUAAAAUAAGCCCAGGUAUGAUUUCUAUAUGUUGGAAGAAUCUAAAGGAAACAAGAUGAAAUACACAUCCAUACCUCUUCUGUUCUUGGACACAGGAGAAAACAUGCUACAUAAAACCUGGAGAGUAAGCAUUUUUGAUCUGGCAAACAGAUCUCCGCAGGUCAGAAAUAGAAAGGUCAUUGAUAUUUCAGAAUUUCAAGAAUCUGAUGAUGCUGAUGAAGAUUAUGGAAGAGAUUCAGGCCCUCUAGCUAAGAAAAUUCACUAAUUUUCCCAGGAAGCAAAAAUAAGAGGCAAUUUGGAAAGAAUUCACAGGAAGAUAGUGAGGACUAAAGAAAAAGAUGUGGAGACCAAGAAGGGUGAUUCUCACUCAGCAGAGGACAGUGAAUAUAAAAAGAUCAUCAAAAUAUGUGUCAGCAAUGGCAAGCAGCCUCUAAAGCAGCUUCUAAUCAGAGAGAGAGAGAUGCUCAUGAAAGAUGAGGGGAGUGAAGAACAAGAGGAGGUUGAAGCACCACUCCAAGAGAAAGAUUCCAGCAGUGAUGAAGAUUUCCUAAUGGAAGACUAUGAUGAUAGUGACUAUGGCAGUUCCAAAAAAAAAAAAANAGAAAAAGAAAACGAAAAAGAAAAGAAAAGAAAAACAAAAAGAUCCCUAAGAAGUCCAAUCCUGAGAUAAAAGAAAAUGCCCAAACCUAAGCCAAAGGCUACAGUGAGGCCAAACCCUGUGAGAGGCAAAGGGAAGGUAGGUCACUCCAUAGCUUUAAAGGUAUCAAAGGAAAAGGCUCCUUCUCCCAAAGAAAAGGAGAAACCAGAUAGCCCUCCAGAAAAGAAGCCCUCUGCAAGCCAUCCACCUGAAAAAUCUGGGGAUAAAGGGUCUGAAGAUGAAGCUCAGUCUGUGGGGGAUUAAAAAGUAAUGAUGGUUGGGGGAGAUAUUUUAUUUAAAAAAAGAGAAAAAAAAAGAAAAAAGGAAAAAGAAAAUCUGCUUCAGAUAGAACAUAGUUUUGGCUAUGGCUUGAUUCAUGGACUUUCAGUGCUUUUAUCCUUUUCUUGAAAAUCUCUCUUUUUAAAGAAAAUGCUUAAAUUUAAUUUACUUGUCUAUUAGUCCUCUCUUUGCCAUCAUCCCUCUUUCUGACCCUUUCCCAAUAAAGCCAUGUGAAAGUAAUCA